GGUUUCCGUAGUGACCUGCGGAAGGAUCAUUG
This 32-nucleotide ribosomal RNA is filed under the name Scaevola ramosissima. RNAcentral's name for it is "partial 18S ribosomal RNA". The record is from RNAcentral. Lineage: Eukaryota; Viridiplantae; Streptophyta; Magnoliopsida; Asterales; Goodeniaceae.